This is a microRNA precursor of Rattus norvegicus (Norway rat), 105 nucleotides long. The record is from Ensembl. NCBI's taxonomy places the organism in Eukaryota, Metazoa, Chordata, Mammalia, Rodentia, Muridae.
UCUGUGAAUGCAGUGAGUGCCCAGAGCAGGAUGGAGGCCGGGGAAGGUGGCCUCACGUCCUGGAACUCCAUCUCUGGUCUGUGCAGGCAAUGUGAGGAGUCAGAC